Molecule: long non-coding RNA, 804 nt
Organism: Fundulus heteroclitus (mummichog)
Lineage: Eukaryota; Metazoa; Chordata; Actinopteri; Cyprinodontiformes; Fundulidae
Exons: 2
Source: RefSeq, a predicted model, not a curated record
GUCGCGGCGCGGCACGGAACGGCGCGGUGCGGAGCGGCGCGGCGCGGCGAGGCGGCUGUAGACUCCUGCAGCGCCCGCAGCGGGCAGCUGCGACUGGACCCUGCAACAGGCGCAUUAUUCUCACUGGUUUUCUGCCUGGAUCACCAAUGCUACCCGGCACCAGGUCAGAUGUGGGGGACAGUCCAAGAUGCAACGCUGCUCCCUCCCAGGGCUCGUUUUAAAGCGACAUAUGGCUGUGGAAAUAUGUCAACAGCUACGAGCAUCCCAUUGGUUGUUUGUUUAACCAAUGUUUAACUCUUUUUUUUUUUUUUUUUUGUCUCCACCGGAAUCUUUAUAUAACCCAAAGUUGUUACCCAAUCUUCCCAAGGAUCUCAGUCUGAUGUUGUUGGGAUUAAUCAUUGCAAGAGGUUGCAAACAAAGGUCUUCUAUUUCACGCCGUGAUGUCAUCCAGCAAUGACAUUUCUGUUUUAAGGCCUGCAUUUCACAACGUGUGCAUUUUAAGCAGCACUUCUGCAUUUUGAUGCAAACUUCUGCAGCAAUUGCAUUGUUUAGUACGGGCAGGUUUUGUUUUAUUGUUUGCAACGGCUGAAUGAACAAAAAAAAAAAAAAAACAUGUUUCUUCACGGUACAUUAAACUUUCCAGCCUGACUUAAACUUGUUGGCGUGAAAACUGUGCAACCAGAGAAAUAGCACUUAUACAGAUAUUACAAAUUGCCUUGACUGAUGUAUAAGCAGACACUGAUGUAACUUCUACAGAAACCUAUCCCAGAAUGCUAAACCCAAUAAAAGUUCACAAGACGGGUA